CUGGGUUUCCUGAUCUCUUCGUUGCAGCAGAGCUCCAAUCGUUUUUCUGUUGCUUAUCAAGCUAGUUUUCUGACUUUUUUCCAUUUGUGGACAAUGGCGAUGAAAACGAGCUCUGCAGUUACAGUGCUAGUAUUGGUCUUCCUAUGCCUUAGCUCCAUGCUCCAUGAAACCGAGGCUGCCUGCGCCGCGACCACCAGUCUGCUAGCCUGCUUGCCGGCGACGCAAUCGGACAUCAUGCCUUCCGCAACUUGCUGCACGCAACUCUCGAGCUACGUGGCCAACAACGGCCAGGAUUGCCUGUGCUCUGCAUCCACGAGCAACACCGCGCGUUCCGAUCUCGCCCUGAAACUUCCCCAGAAAUGCAACCUCAAGUUCAAGGCUGGAACCACUUGCAAUGGUAAUUUGACGUGGAAAAGAGCUUCCCGUUUACCUCGUGACGUUGCUCCCCUAUCUGAACUGUUCUUUUUGAGUUGCCCUACUAUCUACAUUACGCGGUUGUACCUUCGAUGGAACUAUUGAUUUAGACAUCAAGUUGCACCCUCUAUGGUGUUAGAGGUUUUUGAAUGAAGUUGGUGUCCCUCCGUUGAUCUGUGCAGGCAGAGUUAUUCCAGGAGGCCAGUGAUCGUCUCCGUGAGGGAGAACGUCGCCAGGAGCAGACUGGGACGCAAGAUCAGCGCUCAGAACUGGUUAGAUCCUCAGUUUCAGGGAGUGAUUAGAGUCACGUGAGACGUGGGAGUAAAUAGAUUGGCAGACACCGGAGGGAAUGUUUACUAGGACGGAAUAUAUUCACAAUGCGAGUUGAGGUUUUAAUAGAUACAACCUCCUCAUCUCGGUAAGUUUCACUUGGGAGGGAUGAGCAUAAUCGGGCGCCGACCCGUUCUGUUCCUCUGAGAUCACUUUCCGCAUACAAUACUAAGCUUGUUAACUAAUUUCAGCCCUGCGACCCUUUGAUGCCUAUUUUUCCUGCAAGAAGUGGGAGCGGAUACUCUAAGUCGCAAACUGUUUAGCAGAGUGUAGACUGUGUGUCAUAAUUUGACCGAUACUUCAUUCCUCUGUGCACUCAGUCCUCUCACAUCACCAUAAACGACCCAGCGAUAACGUACAGUUUAAAUAAAAUUAUGCAUAAAGACGGUUCAGAUGGCGGUCUUCUAUGUUGUCCGGGCAAAGUUGGAAGAGCGCAAAGCCCUUAAUUUAUUGGCUCAGAGCUUGAGCAUCCAGCGUGUUGGCCACCUCCGUCGUGGCUUUGCAUCAAAGCCAUCGACCUCAGGAGAUGUUAUCUUCAUAUAACCUUUUUUCAGUCUUGAGAAGUGCAUAACUGGAUAGUACUCACGAUUAAAUGAGAAACUAACACAUUUUUAUUUAAAAAAAAAAAACUCAAUGAAGCAAAUUAGAGAUCGCCGCAAACGUCGUCACAAGACAUCUCCGUUGUCUGGGCUGGCUUUUCUCAAGCCUCGCGAGCAUACCCCUGAAAUGAGCGCCGUUGAAUUCGGUAAUUCAGUGAUAAUAAAUAUGCCGAUUGAUUUUACGUAGAAAACUGACACGCC
RNAcentral lists this long non-coding RNA (1544 nucleotides) under Physcomitrium patens. Its description in RNAcentral is "long non-coding RNA (PPAT_LNC005082)". The record is from RNAcentral. Lineage: Eukaryota; Viridiplantae; Streptophyta; Bryopsida; Funariales; Funariaceae.